This 386-nucleotide ribosomal RNA is filed under the name Vanderwaltozyma yarrowii. RNAcentral describes it as "partial small subunit ribosomal RNA". It matches the Rfam family "Bacterial small subunit ribosomal RNA", at positions 505 to 940 of the family's 1533-position model. The record is from RNAcentral. Lineage: Eukaryota; Fungi; Ascomycota; Saccharomycetes; Saccharomycetales; Saccharomycetaceae.
GUGCAAGCAGUCGCGGUAAUACAAAGAGGGCUAACGUUAAUCAUAAUGGUUUAAAGAAUUUGUAGAAUUAAUAAAAAUAAUAUUUAUUUAGAAUUAAUAAAUUUAAUAAAAGAAUUAUAAUAGUAAAGAUGAAAUAAUAAUAAUAAUUAUAAGACUGAUAUAUGUGAAAAUAUUUAUUAAAUAUUAAUUGACAUUGAGAAAUGAAAGCUAAAGUAGCAAUACGGAUUCGAUACCCGAGUAGUUUUAGCUGUAAACUAUGAAUACCUUUUUAUAAUAAAUAUAUAAAUUAUAAAAUAAAUGAAAAUUAAAGUAUUCCACCUGAAGAGUAUAUUCGCAAGAAUGAAACUCAAGACAUUAGACGGUUACAAACUUAAGCAGUGGAGCAU